This 204-nucleotide unclassified non-coding RNA is filed under the name Ascomycota sp. Its description in RNAcentral is "partial contains small subunit ribosomal RNA, internal transcribed spacer 1, and 5.8S ribosomal RNA". The stretch from base 1 to 47 matches the Rfam family "Eukaryotic small subunit ribosomal RNA", at positions 1785 to 1831 of the family's 1831-position model. The record is from RNAcentral. Lineage: Eukaryota; Fungi; Ascomycota.
AAAGUCGUAACAAGGUCUCCGUUGGUGAACCAGCGGAGGGAUCAUUACCGAGUGCCCGAGGCUCGAACCCCUGUGAACCUACCGACGUUGCCUCGGCGGGGCGUGCCCCCGGGCCCCCGCCGCAGGAAGAAACUCUUGCUCUAGGCGUCUUCAGGGUAUAGCGCAAAAAUGUCAAAACUUUCAGCAACGGAUCUCUUGGUUCUG